Molecule: RNA transcript, 1159 nt
Organism: Mesocricetus auratus (golden hamster)
Lineage: Eukaryota; Metazoa; Chordata; Mammalia; Rodentia; Cricetidae
Exons: 4
Source: RefSeq, a predicted model, not a curated record
UCUAAAACUCAUCAUCUGGAGCCCUAGACGUACAACUUCUCCCUGUAAUCAGACCCACAUCGCUGGGGAGGGCUGCACGCCUUCUCCCCCCAUGACCUGCGCCAGCUCGCUCGAUCUUCCUCCUACCGGCCGGAAUCCGAAGCAGCUCUGAAUGUCAUCAACCGCCCACCCAGCCCUCCAGAAGCCAGGAAGCAGAGGUGGCCGGAAAUCUCAUCACAGUUCUGGGUACCCUGAAAGGGCGACCCGCAACCUGUCCUUCGUUUGGAUCUCGGAGUCCGCCUUUGAGCUGGGCACGACGGCAACAUCACCUUAAGGGAUACAGUUGCUUAACUUUAGACCCUAUUCCCAACGCAACAUGCUCACCAGCCUCAUCCCCUACAGGGCUCAACGCGUUGUGUAUUCGCACCAGCCCUUCAUGUACGGAACCCACUAGUCUGCACAGAUCUCUUCAUGUGAAGCGGGGGUGGAUGGAAGCAAGAGAACCCCUCUAGUCAUCAACCAGGUGCCUGCCAAGAGCCGCAGGGUCCACCUAAGUCGGAGGGUCAAGAACACCUACAGCCCUUACAAGGUCUGCAGGAACAGCCAUCUGCCCCCGGGGCAGAGGAAGACAGUCCAGACCGAGGAGCUGAAUUCCAUCAGGCGGGAGCUGAGCCAGAUCAAAGCCCAGGUGGACAGCCUGUUGGAGAGUCUGGAGUUCAUGGAGCAGCAGUGGCAUCAGCACACAGGUGAAGAAUCAAGCAUUGGACCUGGAUAGCCCAGAGGUGGGGACCCUUCCAGGCUCCAGUGUUACUUCUUGGGUGUAUUGUUUCCUUGUCUUGUGUUUUUGGAAGACCCCACACAACCUGAAGUAACCUUUCUGGGGCGAUGCAAAUGGAAGCAUGAUUCAGCCAACCCACCCAGAAGACCUCCCGAUGGUAGUGGGUUUAACUUUUGAAGUCUUUUCCAUGAAUCCAGGGGUGGGCAGCGUAGGGAAGUCCCACAACCAGCAGUAUCUCACCAUCCCCAGUCUUGCAGGAGGACCCUGACCCCAAAGAACACUAUUAGCCCUCACUGAAUGCAGACUGCUUAUUUUCCUUCCCCAUGCACCGCUAAACCUGGUGGUGUGGAAGCUCUUUUCUUCAGCCACAGUAGUAAAGACACUUGUGUCCCUACAGUGACA